CUGUACGAUUCAGAGGACGGAGGGGUAUUCAUCGAGUGAGAUAUGUCAGGGAGAGGCCUGAACCCGUCAGAGAUGCUGUACUGAGGGGCAAUCGCCGACACCAGCGAGUGAGAGAUCCGGAAAGCAAGCUGGAGAUCCUCCAAAAGCUGCUGACAAUUG
Long non-coding RNA from Perca fluviatilis (European perch), 159 nucleotides. RefSeq lists it as uncharacterized. The record is from RefSeq and is a predicted model, not a curated record. Lineage: Eukaryota; Metazoa; Chordata; Actinopteri; Perciformes; Percidae. The transcript has 3 exons.